ACUGGGUAUUGACUAUGAAAAAUCGUAUAUUGGCCAAGACUGAAAAGAUGCCAAAUAUGGGAUGUGUAAUUUGGACAGGCUGCCAAAAAUGGGACAAAAGAAAGGAUUAUAACAAAUAUGGAGUUAUUCAUGCAAAAAUACCUGGUCGUCCAAAACACCAAACUUUUAAAGUACACCGACUCCAGUAUAUGCUCCACCACAAUCACUUUGACAUACCUCGUAGCAUGGAUGUAUCGCAUUUAUGUCACCACUCCCUCUGUGUUAAUAUUGAACACUUGAGCCUCGAACCACAUUAUGUUAACAACAACCGUCAACACUGUCUAAACAUUGUCCCGAAACACUGCAUCGGCCAUCCAGGUUAUAGAGACUGUUUUUUUCUUCUUGGGGACAGGUACGUAUGAUCUGUUAGACAUGGUGGUACAACUUCGGAGUCAAGUACAUUCUUCUUGUAGGUUGUUCUUGCAGUACUGUUGUGUUUGUCAUCAUAUUGCUGGUAUCGAACCUUGCGGAGAUAAUUUCUUCGGGAUCUGUACCGAGUAGUUUUUUUCCUAGUAGCAUGAUACCGGUCUUCACGUUCCCGAGCUUUCAGUUCUGCGAGGGCGUGUAUUCUUCCAGUCAGUGGGGCUCCCACUAGUUGACAUCUUGUAACAGUAGACUUUAGAAUUCCUUUGUUGAGCAUGUGGGCUGCACUGUGUAUUCUUGCUUCAAAGUUGCGAUAGAAUGUCACUUGUUUCGGAUUUGUUCUAGUAUAAGCCCGGUUGACACUUUCUACUUUUUGAGUGUUUGUAUUGAGUUUUGUUUUAAGAAGUGCAGUUUUGCCGAGUCGAAGUUCUAGGCAUUUUCUUAACAAUUCUUUAUCGCCUUCUUUCAUUUUCAGAACUGAAUCUGCAGGUAAAUAGGCAGGUUUCCAUGCCUUGAUCCGCCUGCCCGAACACACAAAUGAAUGCCUUUGACACAGUGUUGAACAGUUGCCACUCACACAGGCCACGAUGGAAUCGAUGGUGUGUUUCGUUCUCAGCAAUGGUGUAGACCGCUUGAGUUGCAGGCUGGAGGGGUGUGCUCGAGUUCCCACCGAAAAGUCUGUUGUUGUAACGGCAGUCUCCCUCAACACUUAUCUUGUGAUCACUGGAAAUCUUCCAAGGCAUCGGGAACAGCUGGGUGAGGCCGAAGUAACCGCAUAUUGCCAGUCAUCCCCUGUGAAUCGGUGACCACAUAUGAAGAUGCACCUCGACUCGUUGACGGCUUAGCCACUGCAUCAAAGUCUUCCCUGGACAGCCUGGUACAGGCCAUAUCAGACCAAUACAGUGACACUCCUCAAAGAGUUAUCUCCCCUUGACCAGUCGUCAACAUAUAACCAAGUGACUUUCGUGAAGUGCAAAAUAACUGAAUCUGCAGGUAAAUAGGCAGGUUUCCAUGCCUUGAUCCGCCUGCCCGAACACACAAAUGAAUGCCUUUGACACAGUGUUGAACAGUUGCCACUCACACAGGCCACGAUGGAAUCGAUGGUGUGUUUCGUUCUCAGCAAUGGUGUAGACCGCUUGAGUUGCAGGCUGGAGGGGUGUGCUCGAGUUCCCACCGAAAAGUCUGUUGUUGUAACGGCAGUCUCCCUCAACACUUAUCUUGUGAUCACUGGAAAUCUUCCAAGGCAUCGGGAACAGCUGGGUGAGGCCGAAGUAACCGCAUAUUGCCAGUCAUCCCCUGUGAAUCGGUGACCACAUAUGAAGAUGCACCUCGACUCGUUGACGGCUUAGCCACUGCAUCAAAGUCUUCCCUGGACAGCCUGGUACAGGCCAUAUCAGACCAAUACAGUGACACUCCUCAAAGAGUUAUCUCCCCUUGACCAGUCGUCAACAUAUAACCAAGUGACUUUCGUGAAGUGCAAAAUAACUGAAUCUGCAGGUAAAUAGGCAGGUUUCCAUGCCUUGAUCCGCCUGCCCGAACACACAAAUGAAUGCCUUUGACACAGUGUUGAACAGUUGCCACUCACACAGGCCACGAUGGAAUCGAUGGUGUGUUUCGUUCUCAGCAAUGGUGUAGACCGCUUGAGUUGCAGGCUGGAGGGGUGUGCUCGAGUUCCCACCGAAAAGUCUGUUGUUGUAACGGCAGUCUCCCUCAACACUUAUCUUGUGAUCACUGGAAAUCUUCCAAGGCAUCGGGAACAGCUGGGUGAGGCCGAAGUAACCGCAUAUUGCCAGUCAUCCCCUGUGAAUCGGUGACCACAUAUGAAGAUGCACCUCGACUCGUUGACGGCUUAGCCACUGCAUCAAAGUCUUCCCUGGACAGCCUGGUACAGGCCAUAUCAGACCAAUACAGUGACACUCCUCAAAGAGU
RNAcentral lists this long non-coding RNA (2331 nucleotides) under Gigantopelta aegis. RNAcentral describes it as "uncharacterized LOC121385435, transcript variant X1". The record is from RNAcentral. Lineage: Eukaryota; Metazoa; Mollusca; Gastropoda; Neomphalida; Peltospiridae.